CACUUUGUCUUGAAGCAGACAGGUCUGGACACACUGACCACAGACAGACAGACAGACAGGUCUGGACACACUGACCAUAGACAGACAGACAGACGGGUCUGGACACACUGACCACAGACAGACAGACAGACAGGUCUGGACACACUGACCACAGACAGACAGACAGGUCUGGACACACUGACCACAGACAGACAGGUCUGGACACACUGACUACAGACAGACAGACAGACAGGUCUGGACACACUGACUACAGACAGACAGACAGGUCUGGACACACUGACUACAGACAGACAGGUCUGGACACACUGACUACAGACAGACAGGUUUGGACACACUGACCACAGACAGGCAGACAGGACACUGCAGUCAGAAAGAGAGAGUGUCACACACAGAGUCUGGACUAGGGGUAGCCCUGCUGGGCUUUG
Oncorhynchus tshawytscha (Chinook salmon) is the source of this 425-nucleotide long non-coding RNA. Lineage: Eukaryota; Metazoa; Chordata; Actinopteri; Salmoniformes; Salmonidae. The record is from Ensembl.